RNAcentral lists this ribosomal RNA (253 nucleotides) under uncultured bacterium. Its description in RNAcentral is "partial 16S ribosomal RNA". It matches the Rfam family "Bacterial small subunit ribosomal RNA", at positions 524 to 776 of the family's 1533-position model. The record is from RNAcentral.
GACAGAGGAUGCAAGCGUUAUCCGGAAUGAUUGGGCGUAAAGCGUCUGUAGGUGGCUUUUUAAGUCUGCCGUCAAAUCCCAGGGCUUAACCCUGGACAGGCGGUGGAAACUACCAAGCUGGAGUACGGUAGGGGUAAAGGGAAUUUCCAGUGGAGCGGUGAAAUGCGUAGAGAUUGGAAAGAACACCGAUGGCGAAGGCACUUUACUGGGCUAUUACUGACACUCAGAGACGAAAGCUAGGGUAGCAAAUGGG